AGAGUUUGAUCAUGGCUCAGAACGAACGCUGGCGGCAUGCCUAACACAUGCAAGUCGAACGAGACCUUCGGGUCUAGUGGCGCACGGGUGCGUAACGCGUGGGGAUCUGCCCUUUGCUUCGGAAUAACAGUUAGAAAUGACUGCUAAUACCGGAUGAUGUCGUAAGACCAAAGAUUUAUCGGCAAAGGAUGAACCCGCGUAGGAUUAGCUAGUUGGUGGGUAAAGGCCUACCAAGGCGACGAUCCUUAGCUGGUCUGAGAGGAUGAUCAGCCACACUGGGACUGAGACACGGCCCAGACUCCUACGGGAGGCAGCAGUGGGGAAUAUUGGACAAUGGGCGAAAGCCUGAUCCAGCAAUGCCGCGUGAGUGAUGAAGGCCUUCGGGUUGUAAAGCUCUUUUACCAGGGAUGAUAAUGACAGUACCUGGAGAAUAAGCUCCGGCUAACUCCGUG
RNAcentral lists this ribosomal RNA (452 nucleotides) under uncultured bacterium. RNAcentral describes it as "bacterial SSU rRNA". It matches the Rfam family "Bacterial small subunit ribosomal RNA", at positions 8 to 507 of the family's 1533-position model. The record is from RNAcentral.